CCGAGUGAGGGCCCUCUGGGUCCAACCUCCCACCCGUGUUUAUUUUACCUUGUUGCUUCGGCGAGCCUGCCUUUUGGCUGCCGGGGGACGUCUGUCCCCGGGUCCGCGCUCGCCGAAGACACCUUAGAACUCUGUCUGAAGAUUGUAGUCUGAGAUUAAAUAUAAAUUAUUUA
RNAcentral lists this unclassified non-coding RNA (173 nucleotides) under uncultured fungus. RNAcentral's name for it is "sequence contains ITS1, 5.8S rRNA gene". Lineage: Eukaryota; Fungi. The record is from RNAcentral. RNAcentral also lists the same sequence under 1 other name.